Molecule: small nucleolar RNA, 135 nt
Organism: Malania oleifera
Lineage: Eukaryota; Viridiplantae; Streptophyta; Magnoliopsida; Santalales; Ximeniaceae
Source: RefSeq, a predicted model, not a curated record
AUCCCAGAUGAGCUGAAAUUUGUGCUUAUCUGAUUCAUGGGAAGCCUAGAUUAAUCAUAUGGAAGUUUCGCUGAUGACGCCAUUUUUUAUUUAUUUUGCUAAGAGGGCGUUUAAUAGUAGCUUUCCCAUACAUGA